This 492-nucleotide unclassified non-coding RNA is filed under the name Metschnikowia sp. JSKim-2014. Its description in RNAcentral is "partial contains 18S rRNA, ITS1, 5.8S rRNA, and ITS2". The stretch from base 166 to 319 matches the Rfam family "5.8S ribosomal RNA". Lineage: Eukaryota; Fungi; Ascomycota; Pichiomycetes; Serinales; Metschnikowiaceae. The record is from RNAcentral.
GAAGGAUCAUUAGUGAAUAUAGGACGUCCAACUUAACUUGGAGUCCGAACUCUCACUUUCUAACCCUGUGCACUUGUUUGGGAUAGUAACUCUCGCAAGAGAGCGAACUCCUAUUCACUUAUAAACACAAAGUCUAUGAAUGUAUUAAAUUUUAUAACAAAAUAAAACUUUCAACAACGGAUCUCUUGGCUCUCGCAUCGAUGAAGAACGCAGCGAAAUGCGAUAAGUAAUGUGAAUUGCAGAAUUCAGUGAAUCAUCGAAUCUUUGAACGCACCUUGCGCUCCAUGGUAUUCCGUGGAGCAUGCCUGUUUGAGUGUCAUGAAUACUUCAACCCUCCUCUUUCUUAAUGAUUGAAGAGGUGUUUGGUUUCUGAGCGCUGCUGGCCUUUACGGUCUAGCUCGUUCGUAAUGCAUUAGCAUCCGCAAUCGAACUUCGGAUUGACUUGGCGUAAUAGACUAUUCGCUGAGGAAUUCUAGUCUUCGGAUUAGAGCC